UACGAAGGGGGCUAGCGUUGUUCGGAAUCACUGGGCGUAAAGGGCGCGUAGGCGGCCGAUCAAGUCGGGGGUGAAAGCCUGUGGCUCAACCACAGAAUUGCCUUCGAUACUGUUUGGCUUGAGACCGGAAGAGGUUAGUGGAACUGCGAGUGUAGAGGUGAAAUUCGUAGAUAUUCGCAAGAACACCAGUGGCGAAGGCGGCUGACUGGACUGGUAUUGACGCUGAGGUGCGAAAGCGUGGGGAGCAAACAGG
RNAcentral lists this ribosomal RNA (253 nucleotides) under uncultured bacterium. RNAcentral's name for it is "partial 16S ribosomal RNA". It matches the Rfam family "Bacterial small subunit ribosomal RNA", at positions 524 to 776 of the family's 1533-position model. The record is from RNAcentral.